AUUGAACGCUGGCGGCAUGCCUUACACAUGCAAGUCGAACGGCAGCACGGGAGCAAUCCUGGUGGCGAGUGGCGAACGGGUGAGUAAUAUAUCGGAACGUGCCCAGUCGUGGGGGAUAACGCAGCGAAAGCUGUGCUAAUACCGCAUACGAUCUCUGGAUGAAAGCGGGGGACUCGCAAGAGCCUCGCGCGAUUGGAGCGGCCGAUAUCAGAUUAGCUAGUUGGUGGGGUAAAAGCCCACCAAGGCGACGAUCUGUAGCUGGUCUGAGAGGACGACCAGCCACACUGGAACUGAGACACGGUCCAGACUCCUACGGGAGGCAGCAGUGGGGAAUUUUGGACAAUGGGCGCAAGCCUGAUCCAGCAAUGCCGCGUGCAGGAUGAAGGCCCUCGGGUUGUAAACUGCUUUUGUACGGAACGAAACGGUCUGCCCUAAUACGGCAGGCUAAUGACGGUACCGUAAGAAUAAGCACCGGCUAACU
RNAcentral lists this ribosomal RNA (481 nucleotides) under uncultured bacterium. RNAcentral describes it as "bacterial SSU rRNA". It matches the Rfam family "Bacterial small subunit ribosomal RNA", at positions 30 to 502 of the family's 1533-position model. The record is from RNAcentral.